UCUGACCUCAGAAGAUGCAGCGAAAAUACGCAAGACGCGCAUAGAAGCAAGAUGUUGCUGCGCUGAGAACGCCGCUGGCCAGAAAUCCCCUCAGAGCGACGAGAGUAAAUCGCUGCAGUUGUCCCAGAUUCGGUGACAGAGGCGGCAGAAAUUGUAGGUUAUGUCGUCGACAGUUAGCGGAAAAUUCCCUCCAGGCUCAUAAAAGGCACAGAGAUUAUGAUUUUUUUAGCGCGAGCAUAAGAGCCGUUUGGGGGGUCCUUUCCGCUGUAAGAAAACACUCCGAGGAGUGAAGAAAAUAUUAGGAAAAGUACAAAGAUAGCAGAGCAACUCACUACUGCUUCUUGACUUACCUAUAGCACCACAGAGGAAACUGUAUGUAUGCGUGUGUGUAUUUGUACGUGUACGAGUACGCGCGUGUAUGUGGAAUUUGAUUGACUUAUUCAUAUUUUUUAUAUUAUAGGUGUAAGAGCUGCAGGAGCCACUUGAAGAGCCGCAGCUCGAUCUAUAGUCGGAGCAGAAGCUUGAUCUACAGUCGGAGCAGAAGCUUGAUCUACAGUCAGAUCUGCAGCCCGAUCUAAAGUCAGAGCCGCAGCUCGAUGUACAGUCGGAGCAAAAGCUCGAUCUACAGUCAGAGCUGCAGCACAAUCUUAAGUCAGAGCCGCAGCUCGAUAUAAAAUCUAGGCUGCAGCUGGAGCCGCAGCUCGAUCUACAACCAGAGUUGCAGCUGGAGCCGUGGUCGAAGCAGGCCCUUGAAGAACAUCAUCAGGAACAGUAGUAUUCACCUACAAAUGCCACCACCAUGCCUUAUUCACCGCAGUUUGUUCAACUAAAUAAGUAUAUGAGUAUCGAUGAUGCUGAGAUACUUUUCUCAAAGUUUGAUCUCGAAUAUUUUAAUGGAGUAUCAAAAAUGCCUGUUGGAAUUAGUAACGAUGAAACCAACGAAUAUGAUAAGAUAUUGAAGUCACUCCCUACACCAUCCGCUCCGGAGCCAUGCUCAUUAUCGAAGUCUGAAUCUUGUUUAAAUCCCUCCGUCCCUAUAACACCUUCUUAUAUAACACCAGCAUUAUCCUCCCCGAUUUUAUAUAGCGCACUAACAAACCCUCGUAAGCCAAUAUUAAAGUCAAUAAUCCCAGUAAACAUUCCUCUUCAUUUUAAUAAAAAACAAUUUAUAUCAAAACCAUUAACAAAAAGCUCUCCUAUAAAUAUUCCUCUCCUAAUAAUAAAAAAGAUUUAUUGAUAGCCGGCUGCUAUCCUAUUGAUAGCUAAUAUUAUUGAUAAUCCACCUUAUGAAAUUCCUAAAAAACGUAGCAGAGUUUAUCUGUGUGUAUGUGUGUGUGCAAAGAUUUAAUUAUAUAAUUUUAUAAUUUUUAUAGUUGUCAUUUAAGUUUAUAGCAU
Nasonia vitripennis (jewel wasp) is the source of this 1395-nucleotide long non-coding RNA. RefSeq lists it as uncharacterized. The record is from RefSeq and is a predicted model, not a curated record. The transcript has 3 exons. Lineage: Eukaryota; Metazoa; Arthropoda; Insecta; Hymenoptera; Pteromalidae.